AUGUAUUCUCUUAACGUUGAUGAUGGUGAUGGCAACUUGCAGUUGUCUGUUACUCAAUCUCAAAGUGUUGAUGGCACUGAGCCUGUUACCCAGGCUGAGGAUGUUCCUAUGCAGUUACAGCUCGAGGAUGAAAGGAUAAGAAAGAAGAAGUAUGAAUUCCAGAAGAGAAAGGAGUUGGAAUGGCGUCAAAAGGCUGCCUGUGUGCAAGAAAGUGAUGUUGAUGUUGCUAAAGCUCCUAAAUGUACAAACUUGAUGCAAACUCGUUUGACGCAAGUGUUUGAUCGUGAUGGAGUUAAGGAGAAGAAAGUUGUUUUGAAGAGGAAGAUGUCAGAUCGAAAUCCUGAUGGCACACAAAGGCGUAGCCCAUGUGUGAAAGCUGGUUCCCAACCUGGUAAUAGCAAAGCUGAUGCGGAUAGUGUUGUUGUAAAAAUUGGUCCAAGCAAACUUGGUGGCUCCCCUGUUCGUCGGAGUCCACGAGGUUUGAUAAAUAAGAAGCCUUCUUCGUCUCCUCUUCAAGAGAGGUCUUUGUUGAAAGAAAAUAGGAAGCGUAAAGUUCAUCCUGCAAAGGUGAACAAAGGUGUGAAGAAGCAUGCUCGUGUCAAAGCUGAAGAUGUUGUAUCUGAAGAAGAUGAUAUUGAAGUUGAUUCAGAAGAUGAAUUUGCAGUGCCUGUUAGUGUUAUGAUCCCGGUCAAGCCGGUGGAAGGCAAUGCCGGAAAAGCUGCCUUGGAUGAAGAUACAUUGACUCUUGACAUGGGUGAGGCUAAUAAGAAGCUUUGCAUCACUAGCGAUCGUAUACAACAAUUAUUUGGUUUCCCUCGUGGUGGUCGUUCUGCGCCAAGGCCGUCAGAGGACGGAUAUGACGACGCUCUGAUGAAGUUAAGCUCGGAGCUUGACAUUAGCAGGAACAAAGAUAUCAAGACAAAUGAUUUGAGGAAUAAGCUCAAGGUACUCGUCAAGGAUCCUAGCAAAGAUGACCUUGCUCUGAAAGUGUUCUUCAUUAUUGUGUUUAUGAAGGUUGUGUUGCCUGGUUCUGCCCCGCGUGUUUCCAGAGAGGUAGCAAUGUUUGAGGGUCUCGUCUUUGAGGACAUGGCUAAUAUGGAUUAUUGCCAGCUGAUGGUUGAUGAGCUUAGAAGGGUUAUUGCCAAGUACCAAGAUGGUGAUACCAUGGGGAAGGCAAUCACAGGCUGUGCCAUAGGGCCUGUACUAAUGUACCUUGACUGCCUUAUCCGUGGCAAGACUACGGAGCCUGACAUGCGAGUCCCCCGCAUAUGUUUCAUGGAUCCUGCCAAGCUUUCUGAUCUGGUUGAUGCAGAUUUGAUAAAACAAGGCAAUGCAGAUCCAAAGACUUGGGUGUUUGGGAAGCUUCCGGUAUGGUUUUUUAGUACUGUUGUUUCAUGUGUGGUUGAACUGAAUAACUUUGUUCAACUAGCCUGUUGUGGAAAACUCAUGAGGAGGUUUUUUCGAGUGCAUAAACGGCCAGUCCUGGAGAUGCCGUCACCUCAGGUUCCGAAGUUUUCAUCUCUGCCCGAUGAGUUGAGGGAUGGCCGUGGUGUUGAGGGUGCUGGUUAUGUCCCCCCUGGCCCUAGUCAUGCUAGUGCUUCACAGAGGCAGGGUUUUGGUAUUGAUGUUGCUGUUUCAGCAUUGGAGCGCACUAAGCAUAUCUUAAGUAAUGUGUGUUCUGAGCUGCAAAAGGUCCCAAAGACAGUUGAGCAUAUGAGCUGUGUCAAUGGUAUCCUUCCUGAAGGCCAUCAAUUUAAUGUUGAGGAAGCUGUUGACUACAUUGAGAUGGAGAUAAUUUUAAUCGGUGAUAUGCGUGAUGGUGCCACUAAUCUAGUUCAGAGCUCGGUUCGUUUGUUGAACAACAUGAAGCGUUUCAGAACUAUGCAAAACUCUCGCUGCAAGGCAUAUGAAGAAAGUGCAAAUGUUGUUAUCAAGCAGUUUGAGCAGGAUGAGGCCGCUGCCACCGACAGCAGGGCUGGUGUUGGUACUGAGGCUAAUGUUUUUGAUCACGAAACGAAUGAUGUUGGCUUGGAGCAUCCUGAUGUUGAUAUUGAUCAGGAUGAGGCUGCUGGCACCGACAGCAGGGCUGAUGAUGGUACUGAGGCUAAUGUUUCUGAUCAGCAUAUGAACGAUGUUUGCUUGCAGCACCCUGUUGUUGAUGGGACCAGUCAUAAUGUUGAGGCUGUUGUUGACCGUGGAGUUAAUGAUCCAUCCACUGAUAAGUGCAAGGGUCCUAUUGUUGGCGAUGAGCCUUGUUUGCCCGUUGGUGAUGUUGCUUUGAAUGUUAGCAGCAGCAAGAUCGAUGAUGUUGCUGUGAAUGCUUCCAAGCUUACUGAUGUUGAGCGUGAGGUUGUCCUUAGUGGUGGAGAUGAUGCUCGUGGUGUUCCACUGAGUAGUAGGCGCAAUGUUGGUAACAAAGUUGCUGAUGAGGAUGAUGGCGCUGCCAGCAUACUUGAUGCCAAAUCACCUGGUGUUGGUAUUGUUGGGAAUGAAAAUGUUCCUAAUUGUGAAGAUUUGCCGCCAGAGAAUUUCCCGCCUGGAGGUCUUGAUUAUGGUGAUGCAUUGCAAGAUGCUUCUAGCGUGGAGGAGGUGUCAUCCGAGGAUAAUUUACUUCUGUCAAUUUCUUCUGACCCCUCGACGCAGGAGGCGCUCUUGUCGUCCCAGGAUUUUCUUUCUACAGACCCUGAAAGCGCAGCAAUAUUGGUGUCCUCUCAAGUUGUCCCAUCGUCAAACCCUGAAACUGGAGGCAUAAUGGUCUCAUCACAGGAACUACCAUCGUCGUCAAACCCUGAUAGUCCAGAAAGUGGUAAUGUUGUUAAGGUUGAUACGUUUUUCUUCGCUGCUACGAGGUUGCGCACGAACCGUACAAAAUGUCACAAGCCGAUGUUUCAAAAUAAAGAAUGUGAUGCCAGUGUUGGUUCUAUUGCUAAAGCGUUUAUCCCCACUGGCAUGCUCAACUCAGACAAUGCUGACAUUGUUUUAUAUUCUCUAUGUCAGAAGUACCGAGACACUGACAAGUUGAUAGUUCCCAGAUGGGUGACGACCAAGAUCCGUGAUGGAAAUAUUGAUUCCAAUGUGCUAAAUUGGUUCACGAGAUCAGGUGAGUGGCUGGAUCUUGGUGAGCAUGACUACAGGUUCUUUGGCAGCCAGUUCUCGGAGCUCGAGCGUGUAGCUAUUGAUCUUAGCCAGGGGCGUUCUCUCGAAAAGACAAGAUCUGGUGUUAUGAAGGGGCGGUUGGGAGCUCUGAGAGGUUCUACGGAUGCUUGUGCAAAGAGCCCUACUACACCCAAGAAUCCCAUUGUGGAAUUGAUAGACAGCGAUGAUGAUGUGUUUGACAAGAUUGCCGGCAUUGGAAGAGUCACGAGGAGCUCCGCUGCCAAAGGUUUAUCUCCCCUUGCUGGAAUAGUGGCUCGUAGAGCUGGUGGUGCUAGGAAAGAUCCUGCUUUGGAUUCUGGCAAUGUUGUAAGCACGAAGCGUGCGCCCAGAGAUCCUAUAAAGUGUUGCUCCCCUAUGCAGCAAGUUCACCCUCAUAAAUUCCCUCUCCUGGACAAGGCUUGCAAGUUGUAUAAUCUGUUGCUUAGUGAUGAAUGGCGUGAGAAGUAUGCUGAGAAUACAUUCUCAAUGAUACCUCAGCCUGAUGAAAGCGUAACUAACUUCACUGAGAAUCGCAUCUGGGAAGUUUUUUCACCUGGUCAAAUGAUGGAGGGUGAUGUAAUGGACUUCCUCAUUGAUGAUUGGAAGCAAGAUCCCAACAGAAAUGCUGAUUUCGCAUCUGGGACAAGGAUAUUGCUGAGUCCAUAUUUCAUCACGGCUAUGCUUGACUGCUCAUUUUACGAUGAUGAAAAUAAAGUGUUUAAUGUGGAGAGUGCAGCGAGAGAUUUCAAGAGCUAUGUUAAAGAUAAGGAAGACUUGCUCAGUGCCGACCUUAUCAUGAUGCCUCUAUUCAAGCCUAUGGUUUUAGCAAAGGAUAAGAAAGUGAACCACUAUUCCUUAUAUGUCAUGAAUCGGUACCAAAGUAGCGUUGACAUCCUUGACUCCUUACCUUAUUCGAAGAAACGCCAUCCUUCAAAGAACACCUACCACAAAGACUGCGAGAAGAUUCCAUGCAUUGUUGAUUGGAACGCUGAGGAUAUUUAUAGAGUUGUGUUCAACCGUAAUAACAAUCUUCUGGUGACGGAGCUUCCCAAGGAGGUUCAGGCUUUGGCUCCUGAUGCAUAG
RNAcentral lists this ribosomal RNA (4218 nucleotides) under Triticum aestivum (bread wheat). Its description in RNAcentral is "partial small subunit ribosomal RNA". Lineage: Eukaryota; Viridiplantae; Streptophyta; Magnoliopsida; Poales; Poaceae. The record is from RNAcentral.